UACGGAGGGGGCUAGCGUUGUUCGGAAUCACUGGGCGUAAAGCGCACGUAGGCGGACUCUUAAGUCGGGGGUGAAAUCCUGGAGCUCAACUCCAGAACUGCCUUCGAUACUGGGAGUCUUGAGUUCGGGAGAGGUGAGUGGAACUGCGAGUGUAGAGGUGAAAUUCGUAGAUAUUCGCAAGAACACCAGUGGCGAAGGCGGCUCACUGGCCCGAUACUGACGCUGAGGUGCGAAAGCGUGGGGAGCAAACAGG
RNAcentral lists this ribosomal RNA (253 nucleotides) under uncultured bacterium. RNAcentral describes it as "partial 16S ribosomal RNA". It matches the Rfam family "Bacterial small subunit ribosomal RNA", at positions 524 to 776 of the family's 1533-position model. The record is from RNAcentral.